GCCCGUUUAGCUCAGUCGGUAGAGCUCUGGCCUUUUAAGCCAGUGGUCGUGGGUUCGAGCCCCACGGGGGGCG
RNAcentral lists this transfer RNA (73 nucleotides) under Pythium aphanidermatum DAOM BR444. RNAcentral describes it as "tRNA-Lys for anticodon UUU". It matches the Rfam family "tRNA". Rfam says of the family: Transfer RNA (tRNA) molecules are approximately 80 nucleotides in length. The record is from RNAcentral. Lineage: Eukaryota; Oomycota; Peronosporomycetes; Pythiales; Pythiaceae.